RNAcentral lists this ribosomal RNA (400 nucleotides) under Escherichia coli. RNAcentral describes it as "bacterial SSU rRNA". It matches the Rfam family "Bacterial small subunit ribosomal RNA", at positions 1 to 397 of the family's 1533-position model. The record is from RNAcentral. Lineage: Bacteria; Pseudomonadati; Pseudomonadota; Gammaproteobacteria; Enterobacterales; Enterobacteriaceae.
AAAUUGAAGAGUUUGAUCAUGGCUCAGAUUGAACGCUGGCGGCAGGCCUAACACAUGCAAGUCGAACGGUAACAGAAAGAAGCUUGCUUCUUUGCUGACGAGUGGCGGACGGGUGAGUAAUGUCUGGGAAACUGCCUGAUGGAGGGGGAUAACUACUGGAAACGGUAGCUAAUACCGCAUAACGUCGCAAGACCAAAGAGGGGGACCUUCGGGCCUCUUGCCAUCGGAUGUGCCCAGAUGGGAUUAGCUAGUAGGUGGGGUAACGGCUCACCAAGGCGACGAUCCCUAGCUGGUCUGAGAGGAUGACCAGCCACACUGGAACUGAGACACGGUCCAGACUCCUACGGGAGGCAGCAGUGGGGAAUAUUGCACAAUGGGCGCAAGCCUGAUGCAGCCAUGC